GCAAACUUGGUCAUUUAGAGGAAGUAAAAGUCGUAACAAGGUUUCCGUAGGUGAACCUGCGGAAGGAUCAUUACCGAGUUAGGGUUGCUCCCCAAAAAGAGUGCCCGACCUCCCAACCCUUUGCUUACUUGACCUUUUGUUGCUUCGGCAGGCCCGCCCUCCUGGGCCGCCGGGAGUCGGUAACACGCUCCUGGCCAGUUUUGCCUGCCGACGGCCCCAACCACAAACUCUUGUUACAAACGUGUCGUCUGAGUAUGAUCUAAACAAUAAUAAUCAAAACUUUCAACAACGGAUCUCUUGGUUCUGGCAUCGAUGAAGAACGCAGC
RNAcentral lists this unclassified non-coding RNA (326 nucleotides) under uncultured fungus. RNAcentral describes it as "partial contains small subunit ribosomal RNA, internal transcribed spacer 1, and 5.8S ribosomal RNA". The stretch from base 1 to 73 matches the Rfam family "Eukaryotic small subunit ribosomal RNA", at positions 1759 to 1831 of the family's 1831-position model. The record is from RNAcentral. Lineage: Eukaryota; Fungi.